AUUGAACGCUGGCGGCAGGCUUAACACAUGCAAGUCGAGCGGGGUGAUGGUGCUUGCACUAUCACUUAGCGGCGGACGGGUGAGUAAUGCUUAGGAAUCUGCCUAUUAGUGGGGGACAACAUCUCGAAAGGGAUGCUAAUACCGCAUACGUCCUACGGGAGAAAGCAGGGGAUCACUUGUGACCUUGCGCUAAUAGAUGAGCCUAAGUCGGAUUAGCUAGUUGGUGGGGUAAAGGCCUACCAAGGCGACGAUCUGUAGCGGGUCUGAGAGGAUCAUCCGCCACACUGGGACUGAGACACGGCCCAGACUCCUACGGGAGGCAGCAGUGGGGAAUAGUGGACAAUGGGGGGAACCCUGAUCCAGCCAUGCCGCGUGUGUGAAGAAGGCCUUAUGGUUGUAAAGCACUUUAAGCGAGGAGGAGGCUCUUUUGGUUAAUACCCAAGAUGAGUGGACGUUACUCGCAGAAUAAGCACCGGCUAACUCUGUGCCAGCAGCCGCCGUA
This 502-nucleotide ribosomal RNA is filed under the name uncultured bacterium. RNAcentral's name for it is "partial 16S ribosomal RNA". It matches the Rfam family "Bacterial small subunit ribosomal RNA", at positions 30 to 522 of the family's 1533-position model. The record is from RNAcentral.